AGUCGGUAACAGGUUUCCGUAGGUGAACCUGCGGAAGGAUCAUUA
RNAcentral lists this ribosomal RNA (45 nucleotides) under Venturia inaequalis. RNAcentral describes it as "partial 18S ribosomal RNA". The record is from RNAcentral. Lineage: Eukaryota; Fungi; Ascomycota; Dothideomycetes; Venturiales; Venturiaceae.